UACGUAGGGACCAAGCGUUGUUCGGAUUUACUGGGCGUAAAGGGCGCGUAGGCGGCGCGGUAAGUCACUUGUGAAAUCUCUGAGCUUAACUCAGAACGGCCAAGUGAUACUGCAGUGCUAGAGUGUGGAAGGGGCAAUCGGAAUUCUUGGUGUAGCGGUGAAAUGCGUAGAUAUCAAGAGGAACACCGGUGGCGAAGGCGGCAUCCUGGACCAACACUGACACUGAGGAGCGAAAGCCAGGGGAGCAAACGGG
RNAcentral lists this ribosomal RNA (253 nucleotides) under uncultured bacterium. Its description in RNAcentral is "partial 16S ribosomal RNA". It matches the Rfam family "Bacterial small subunit ribosomal RNA", at positions 524 to 776 of the family's 1533-position model. The record is from RNAcentral.